RNAcentral lists this non-coding RNA (26 nucleotides) under Cricetulus griseus (Chinese hamster). Lineage: Eukaryota; Metazoa; Chordata; Mammalia; Rodentia; Cricetidae. The record is from RNAcentral.
UCGAGGAAUGCAAGAAGUGGAAAGGC